GACGAACGCUGGCGGCGGGCUUAACACAUGCAAGUCGAACGGAAAGGCCCUGCUUUUGUGGGGUGCUCGAGUGGCGAACGGUUGUGUAACAUGUGAGUAACCUGCCCAUGACUUUGGGAUAACUUCAGGAAACUGGUGCUAAUACCGGAUAGGAGCUCCUGCUGCUUGGUGGGGUUCGGAAAGUUUCGGCGGUUGGGGAAGGACUCGCGGCUUAUCAGCUUGUUGGUUGGGUAGUUGCUUACCAAGGCUUUGACGGGUAGCUGGCCUGAGAGGGUAGCCGGCCGCAAUGGGACUGAGAUACGACGCAGAGUGCUACGGGGGGCAGCAGUGGGAAAUAUUGCACAAUGGCUGGAAGCCUGAUGCAGCGACGCAGGGUGCGGGAUGACGGCCUUCGGGUUGUAAACCGCUUUCGGCUGUGACGAAGCGUGAGUGACGGUAAUGGGUAAAGAAGCACCGGCUAACUACGUG
Molecule: ribosomal RNA, 468 nt
Filed under: uncultured bacterium
Lineage: Bacteria
Description: partial 16S ribosomal RNA
Rfam family: Bacterial small subunit ribosomal RNA
Source: RNAcentral